GGGGGUGUGGUUUAGUGGUAUAAUUCCUCUUUAGCAUGAAUUAAGCUCGCGUAGAGGCGGUCCGGCGUUCGAUUCGCCGCUCCUCCA
This 87-nucleotide transfer RNA is filed under the name Sphaerosporella brunnea. RNAcentral describes it as "tRNA-Ala". Lineage: Eukaryota; Fungi; Ascomycota; Pezizomycetes; Pezizales; Pyronemataceae. The record is from RNAcentral.